UUAUUAUUUGUUGUUUUAUGUUAA
Molecule: non-coding RNA, 24 nt
Filed under: Arabidopsis thaliana (thale cress)
Lineage: Eukaryota; Viridiplantae; Streptophyta; Magnoliopsida; Brassicales; Brassicaceae
Source: RNAcentral